CGAAGGGUGCAAGCGUUACUCGGAAUUACUGGGCGUAAAGCGUGCGUAGGUGGUUCGUUAAGUCUGAUGUGAAAGCCCUGGGCUCAACCUGGGAACUGCAUUGGAUACUGGCGAUCUGGAGUGCGGUAGAGGGGGUGCGGAAUUCCCGGUGUAGCAGUGAAAUGCGUAGAUAUCGGGAGGAACAUCCGUGGCGAAGGCGGCACCCUGGACCAGCACUGACACUGAGGCACGAAAGCGUGGGGAGCAAACAGGAUU
Molecule: ribosomal RNA, 255 nt
Filed under: uncultured bacterium
Lineage: Bacteria
Description: partial 16S ribosomal RNA
Rfam family: Bacterial small subunit ribosomal RNA
Source: RNAcentral